AAAGUUUAAUUUAAGCUUAAAAGAUUAUUUAAUUUUUUUUUUAUAUGUAAAUUUUUGUGGGGAUCGUAGAAUAAUUUUAAUAAUUAUUUUAUAGUUAUUUAUUUGCAGUAUUUAAUUUUAUAAAUUUAAGAAAUUAAGAUUUAGGAAUAAAUUUUAUUAUUAACAAAUUUUGUGCCAGCAGUUGCGGUUAUACAAAAAAUAAAAAUAAUUUAUUUUUAGUAUAUAAUUAUAUGUAUAUUAAUAUAAUUAAUAAUUAUAUUUAUUAGGUGAAAUUUUAAAUAUAAAUUAUAUUUUUAUAAAGAUUUUAUUAUUAUGAAAUUUUAUUUAGAAACUAGGAUUAGAUACCCUAUUAUUUAAAAUGUUAAUAAUUAAACUAAAGUAGUAUCAGUUAUGUUCUUUAAAUUUAAAGAUUUUGGCGGUAUUUUAGUCUAUUCAGAGGAACCUGUUCUGUAAUUGAUAGUCCACGAUUAACUUUACUUAAAUUUAAAAGUUUGUAUAUCGUUGUUUAUAGAAAAUUUUUUAAGAAAAAUAAUUUUUAAUAAAUUUAAUUAAAUUAUAAAUCAAAUCAAGGUGCAGUUUAUAUUUAAGAAGAAAUGGGUUACAAUAAAAUUAUUUAAACGGAUUUAGAUUUUAAAAUAUUUAAUGAAGGAGGAUUUGAUAGUAAUUUUAUUAAAUUAAAUAAAAUGAUUAUAGCUCUAGAAUAUGUACAUAUUGCCCGUCGCUCUUAUUAUAAGAUAAGAUAAGUCGUAACAUAGUAGAUGUACUGGAAAGUGUAUCUAGAAUGA
RNAcentral lists this non-coding RNA (785 nucleotides) under Dineutus mellyi. The record is from RNAcentral. Lineage: Eukaryota; Metazoa; Arthropoda; Insecta; Coleoptera; Gyrinidae.